UGUAAAAUGCGGUUUGGUCGAGGACGCACGCACGCAAGGUGUUCGACGAAAAUCCUCAGUCACGUCAGCUUGGUUUUUGUUACAACGAUUUGAUAUCUAUCUGGGUACAUGAAAGUCUCUGAUGUGAAGGAAGCUGGUGUGUAUGUGUUUGCUGUCACCGAGUGUUUGUCAUAAUCCUGUUACAUUGGUUAGUGUUCUGUCUUCUAGUGCCCAUCUUGGAGCUCAGAAGAUUAGUCAAGAAUUAGAGAAUCUAGUAAAAUCCCAUUGUAUUCUAGUUGAACCCUAUGGUGCUGUUUGGGGAGCUAUAUAUAUAUAUAUAUUGGGUGUAUGUUAAUAUCCUUAAGAAUGUGGAUAUGGCAGAGUUAGCUUUUGCAAAGGUGAUUGAGUUUGAACCCAUGAACAUUGGCUACUAGUAUGUAUUGAUGUCAAAUAUAUAUUCAGACUCGAAAAAUCAACAAGGAAUCUUGAUAAUCCGGGUAAUGAUGAGGAAUUCAGAAAAGAGCAUGGGUUUAGUUGUGUGGAACACAAGGGAAUAGUUCACUAAUUUUUUUAGCUGGCGAGUUUAUAAAAUGCUUACAAAAUCCUAAAGAAGUUUGCCUUCAGAAAUAAGUCCAUCUUUUAUGAUGUCCCUGCUAUACUAACCUCCAUUCAGUCAUUGUUCUGUCAUCCUAAUCCGAAUUAUCCUGUAAAAUUCGGAAGCUGCAAAGCAAGCGCGAGUACAACAGAAGAGUCCGCGAUGUUGUCGACCAUAGCUGGACUCUGGACUGCAGACUAGUAAUAAUAUUAUUGUUGUAUCAUUAGUCUUUAAAAAGACAUUAAGCAUCCUCUCUUGUGUUUCACCCACUCUUCUGUGUGUUUUUCGAGCUCUGUGAUUUGUUGCUUUUGAUGUUUCUCUGUAUUUUCGUAACCACAUUCAUCUUCAUAAUUAUCAUAUGCAUUUCAACU
Arabidopsis lyrata subsp. lyrata is the source of this 945-nucleotide long non-coding RNA. RefSeq lists it as uncharacterized. The record is from RefSeq and is a predicted model, not a curated record. NCBI's taxonomy places the organism in Eukaryota, Viridiplantae, Streptophyta, Magnoliopsida, Brassicales, Brassicaceae. The transcript is spliced from 2 exons.